AUCAGAAACCGUAGUCUUGUUGCAUAUUUAUUGAUUAUUUUGGAUAUGUCUUUUUUGUCAUAUCCGUUUUUUAUAAGUGGUAAUGCGACUCGGCAUAUAGCUAUCUGUAUGUGUUGGUUUUUUGUACACUUGAUGGCUUAAGGCAGAGCCUUCCAAAUGGUCACGUGAUCGUAUCUCCACAAAAAUUUCAACAGUCUCAAUUUUACCCUCUCCAAUGCUGCCUUCCAGUCUUUCCGCCACACGUGUUUAUAGCUGUCGCAAGCAACCACGAAUAGGAGAAACGUUGCAUGGUGGGAGACAAGCACGAGCGAGCGAGAGGCAAGGGAAUUAAGGGCCCACGGCGCCCGAUUAGGAAGGCUCUGGCCUAAGGUAUCAUCACAGUAUAAAGUAUAGACACUGAGCGUUGACAUCUUUGAUGGAUCUCAGGUUACAUAACUCGCCGCCAUAUUGUGAGUUGGAAAGGCGCUUAUAAAUUUGAGUUUUUAUAAAGCUACAGAAUGAUUUAAAAAAAAAAAAGACAAUUCGGUCGUAUCAUGAAAAUUAUUUAU
This is a long non-coding RNA of Atta colombica, 548 nucleotides long. RefSeq lists it as uncharacterized. NCBI's taxonomy places the organism in Eukaryota, Metazoa, Arthropoda, Insecta, Hymenoptera, Formicidae. The record is from RefSeq and is a predicted model, not a curated record. The transcript has 3 exons.